This 274-nucleotide ribosomal RNA is filed under the name uncultured bacterium. Its description in RNAcentral is "partial 16S ribosomal RNA". It matches the Rfam family "Bacterial small subunit ribosomal RNA", at positions 523 to 796 of the family's 1533-position model. The record is from RNAcentral.
AUACAGAGGGCCCGAGCGUUGAUCGGAAUCACUGGGCUUAAAGGGUACGUAGGCGGAUUGGCAAGUGUGUUGUGAAAUCCCACGGCUCAACCGUGGAAUUGCUUCGCAAACUGCCAAUCUUGAGCCCAUCAGGGGUCGUCAGAACUCUAGGUGGAGCGGUGAAAUGCGUAGAUAUCUAGAGGAAUGCCAAUGGUGAAGACAGACGACUGGGACGGAGCUGACGCUCAGGUACGAAAGCAUGGGUAGCGAACGGGAUUAGAAACCCUAGUAGUCC